GCCCAGACUCCUACGGGAGGCAGCAGUGGGGAAUAUUGCACAAUGGGGGAAACCCUGAUGCAGCGACGCCGCGUGAGCGAUGAAGUAUUUCGGUAUGUAAAGCUCUAUCAGCAGGGAAGAAGAUGACGGUACCUGACUAAGAAGCCCCGGCUAACUACGUGCCAGCAGCCGCGGUAAUACGUAGGGGGCAAGCGUUAUCCGGAUUUACUGGGUGUAAAGGGAGCGUAGACGGCGAUGCAAGCCAGGAGUGAAAGCCCGGGGCCCCACCCCGGGACUGCUCUUGGAACUGCGUGGCUGGUGUGCAGGAGGGGCAGGCGGAAUUCCUGGUGUAGCGGUGAAAUGCGUAGAUAUCAGGAGGAACACCGGUGGCGAAGGCGGCCUGCUGGACUGCAACUGACGUUGAGGCCCGAAAGCGUGGGGAGCACACAGGAUUAGAUCCCCCUGUA
RNAcentral lists this ribosomal RNA (446 nucleotides) under uncultured bacterium. RNAcentral describes it as "bacterial SSU rRNA". It matches the Rfam family "Bacterial small subunit ribosomal RNA", at positions 329 to 792 of the family's 1533-position model. The record is from RNAcentral.